GAAAAUAAUACAGAAUUAAUCAUAAUAGUUUAAGAGUUUCACAGAUGUAUUUGAUUCCUCCAAUAUUUUUUAUGAGGAAACAUUUUGGACUAUUUGCAUGUUGCUGAGAAAGAAUUGAUAUUUUAAAAAAAGACAUCCGGAUGUUUUUGAGAUUUUUUUAUACAAACAUUUUCUGAUGUUUCUAGAUUAAUUGGGCAAAUGUACUGGGUUAGGUUCGUAUCAGCUAUAAUACUGAUUACACAUAUCUGAACUCAUAUUGUCUAACACCAGGCAGGUGUGUCUUUACAGAGCCAAAACAUAGGCCUUUUCUCAAUUGUGUUCUGCUCGCUUCCUGUCUCCUCACCUCUCUCUCCUCUCUCCUUGACUCCUCUCUCGGGUCUAUUUGAAAACCCACUGGAAGAGGGAAAGGACAUUCUGGAUGGAGAUGAGGAGAUGAGGAGCGAGAAAUGCUAACUUUGAAAAGGGAGACAGAUUCUGGCUCUAUUUAAUCUCAGAAACCAACAGAAAGUGACUUUCAGGUCUGAUGUUUAGGCCUACUAAGUAUCAAACCCACACUGUCAGUCCAUUAGGUCAUUUCCGUUCAGAUGAUCUGAUGUGUAUUGUAUCCAAGUAUGACAUAGUAUGAACCCUAAUAAAGUGUCACGAAAGAAUGUUUCUGUUCAUGAGGAUAAUAAAGAUAAUGGUGUUGAUGAAGAUGAAGAUGUGGGGAUGAUGAUUAUGUGUGUUAAGAUAAUGAUGAGGAUCUUUUUUUCAUAUUUAGAAGACUAAAUGUGAGACUCUGCACCAAUAGGUUCAACAGUAGAACAUUUAGGACGAGAGAGAUUCUAAUAUCCCAUGGUUCAACAAGGGACCAUGUUUCGUGUUUGGUAUGACUGGGAGUGAAUGCUAAAGUGAACAGUAAACUUAUGGUGAAUUUCAGCAGAAAUAUUCCAAAAAAGCCUAGCAAAACUGAUUUACCAUCAUUCUAUUAAUUUAGAUGUUUUAAGUGAUCUAAAGCCCAUUAUAACCACUGCUCAUGUUUUCAACGAUAAUCUAUCAAUGCACUGGUCCUAUGAAUUAAUUUUUUUCCUAACACAUCCACAUGGAAUCUCACAUAGUCUUAACCUGAUAUUGUUGAACCUAGCUAGGCUUCAGGGUGCCACAAAAAAGGCUUCAGAAUGUUGAAGGAACAGUCUUUGGAUUGUCAAUCCAGGCUUCAGAAUGUUGAAGGAACAGUCUUUGGAUUGUCAAUCCAGGCUUCAGAAUGUUGAAGGAACAGUCUUUGGAUUAUCAAUCCAGGCUUCAGAAUGUUGAAGGAACAGUCUUUGGAUUGUCAAUCCAGGCUUCAGAAUGUUGAAUGAACAGUCUUUGGAUUGUCAAUCCAGGCUCCAGAAUGUUGAAGGAACAGUCUUUGGAUUGUCAAUCCAGGGUUCAGAAUGUUGAAGGAACAGUCUUUGGAUUGUCAAUCCAGGCUUCAGAAUUUUUAUUUGUGAUGGAACCUGACCUUCAACCAUCAGAAGCCUUGUCUUUUUAACCCUUGAGGGAAGAGGGAGUGAGCCUAGGGUGUGUUCUGGCUGUCAAAAGACAUGCUAACUGUCCGCAAUAAUUUCCCAGAACUGAACGAGUGUUUCCAAGGCUGUACUUGUAACGUUUUAUUGUUGCUGAUUAUUAUAUUGAUCAAACAUUGUCUUGAAGGAUGUUCCCUGUUGUCUAAAAUAUAAACUUUUUUAUUCCUGA
This is a long non-coding RNA of Esox lucius (northern pike), 1716 nucleotides long. NCBI's taxonomy places the organism in Eukaryota, Metazoa, Chordata, Actinopteri, Esociformes, Esocidae. The record is from Ensembl.